AAACACACAAUUACUUGGCUGUUUUUGGGUAAAAUUCCAGAAUGUUAAUGUCAAACCAAUGUUCUCCUUCAAUCCUCCAACAACUAUCAAGACAUGUAUCAAAGUUUCAAGACUUCAAGAUUAGUUUCAAGGAACUCAAGAAACCCUAGAUUAUUGUAGUCCCCCUUCAAGAUUCCAACCCCUAACAAGUUUAACCACAAAAAUCAGUUUAGGAAAUUAAUGAAAACAACUUGGUGGAAUAAACUAAAGUUUGGACAGAUUCGGUAAGAAACUUGUGCCCAAGGAAAC
Molecule: long non-coding RNA, 288 nt
Filed under: Coffea arabica (coffee)
Lineage: Eukaryota; Viridiplantae; Streptophyta; Magnoliopsida; Gentianales; Rubiaceae
Description: long non-coding RNA (CARA_LNC003757)
Source: RNAcentral